UGGUAGAUGCACCCUGAUAACUUCUUCCCUAGCUGGCUAACACUGGCUGGGGGAUUUUUUU
RNAcentral lists this small RNA (61 nucleotides) under Nostoc sp. PCC 7107. RNAcentral's name for it is "Nitrogen stress-induced RNA 1". It matches the Rfam family "Nitrogen stress-induced RNA 1". The record is from Rfam by way of RNAcentral. Lineage: Bacteria; Bacillati; Cyanobacteriota; Cyanophyceae; Nostocales; Nostocaceae.